CCCCUAGAUGUUCUGGGCCGCACGCGCGCUACACUGAACAGUUCAACAAGUCUUAACCUUGGCCGAUAGGUCUGGGUAAUCUUUGAACGCUGUUCGUGAUUGGGAUAGACCUUUGCAAUUAUGGGUCUUCAACGAGGAAUUCCUAGUAAACGCAAGUCAUCAGCUUGCAUUGAUUACGUCCCUGCCCUUUGUACACACCGCCCGUCGCACCUACCGAUUGAAUGGUCCGGUGAAAUCCUCGGAUCGAGCUGCGGGGCAACCCCGGUUCGAGAAGUUGAUUAAACCUUACCAUUUAGAGGAAGGUGAAGUCGUAACA
This 316-nucleotide ribosomal RNA is filed under the name uncultured eukaryote. RNAcentral's name for it is "partial 18S ribosomal RNA". It matches the Rfam family "Eukaryotic small subunit ribosomal RNA", at positions 1470 to 1796 of the family's 1831-position model. The record is from RNAcentral.